GCUAACGCGAUAAGUCCACCGCCUGAGGACUACGGCCGCAAGGCUAAAACUCAAAGGAAUUGACGGGACACCGCACAAGCAGCGGAGCGUGUGGUUUAAUUCGAUGCAACACGAAGAACCUUACCAGGGCUUGACAUGCAGGUGGUAGGGAGCCGAAAGGUGACCGACCCUUCGGGGAGCCUGCACAGGUGCUGCAUGGCUGUCGUCAGCUCGUGUCGUGAGAUGUUCGGUUAAGUCCGCCAACGAGCGCAACCCUCGCCGUGUGUUACAUGUGUCACACGGGACCGCCGGCCUUAAGCCGGAGGAAGGUGAGGAUGACGUCAAGUCAGCAUGGCCUUUAUGUCCUGGGCUACACACACGCUACAAUGGUCGGUACAAUGGGUCGCGAAGCCGCGAGGCGGAGCCAAUCCCCCAAAGCCGGCCUCAGUUCAGAUUGCAGGCUGCAACCCGCCUGCAUGAAGACGGAGUUGCUAGUAACCGCAGGUCAGC
Molecule: ribosomal RNA, 489 nt
Filed under: uncultured Chloroflexota bacterium
Lineage: Bacteria; Bacillati; Chloroflexota
Description: bacterial SSU rRNA
Rfam family: Bacterial small subunit ribosomal RNA
Source: RNAcentral